Molecule: ribosomal RNA, 637 nt
Filed under: Mrakia sp. GU76
Lineage: Eukaryota; Fungi; Basidiomycota; Tremellomycetes; Cystofilobasidiales; Mrakiaceae
Description: eukaryotic LSU rRNA
Rfam family: Eukaryotic large subunit ribosomal RNA
Source: RNAcentral
UAGCGGAGGAAAAGAAACUAACAAGGAUUCCCCUAGUAACGGCGAGUGAAGCGGGAUGAGCUCAAAUUUAAAAUCUGGCGGCCUCAGGUCGUCCGAGUUGUAGUCUAGAGAAUCGUUUUCCGCGUUGGCCUGUGUACAAGUCCCUUGGAACAGGGCGUCAUAGAGGGUGAGAAUCCCGUCCUUGACACAGACUACCAAUGCUUUGUGAUGCGAUCUCGAAGAGUCGAGUUGUUUGGGAAUGCAGCUCAAAAUGGGUGGUAAAUUCCAUCUAAAGCUAAAUAUUGGCGAGAGACCGAUAGCGAACAAGUACCGUGAGGGAAAGAUGAAAAGCACUUUGGAAAGAGAGUUAAACAGUACGUGAAAUUGUUAAAAGGGAAACGAUUGAAGUCAGUCAUGCUUUCCGAGACUCAGCCGAUUCUGUCGGUGUACUUCUCGGUUGGCAGGCCAGCAUCAGUUUCGAUCUGUGGAAAAGGUUGGAGGGAACGUGUCAUCCUCGGAUGUGUUAUAGCCCUUCUUCGAAUACAUAGAGCGGGACUGAGGAACGCAGCGCGCCUUUUAUUAGGUUGGCCCUCGGGUACAUACGCGCUUAGGAUGCUGGCAUAAUGGCUUUAAACGACCCGUCUUGAAACACGGACCA